Molecule: long non-coding RNA, 3414 nt
Organism: Cygnus atratus (black swan)
Lineage: Eukaryota; Metazoa; Chordata; Aves; Anseriformes; Anatidae
Exons: 3
Source: RefSeq, a predicted model, not a curated record
ACAUGUUUGAAGGUCUCUGCAUGUAGAAUACCUGAUUUACGUUUUACAAAUAGAGGUAGGAAAAGUACAAAACAUUUAAUUUGAUUUCCAACUGUUACCAGUUAUGAACUCUCCCUUCCUAUUUACUAUAAAGAAUGGAUAAAGGUCUAAAUUUUCACUUUCUUCAUGACUAUAGGUUGUUUUGAUGUUUGUUUCCUUUUUUUUUUGGUCCCAAAUCCAGGACGCUACAAAGUGACUCAGUUUCCCAAAUCCCGUGCACCCAACCUUGGAGAAGAGCCUUUCAGAGGAUACUGAAGUCUUCAAGAAUCAUUACAUUGCUUUUGAAUUUAAGCAAAAGGAUUUUAGGGACUAUCCAAUGUCCUUACACUGUGAACAAUGCAAACACCUGAAUGUGCUCAAACAACCCUUGCAAACCUGCGUUUCCAGUCUUUGUGGCUUCAGCCCUUCUGCAGCCUUUGGCUUCUGUUGGUCAAUCCACAUGCAGAAACACAUGAUCAAAGUCAAGAGCUGCACUGCAAGUUACUUUCAAGAAGAACUUAGUCUUCAAGGUGUCCUGAUAAUUACAAUUGCCUAGGAAGACAAAUAAAAGAUACUGCCCCCAACUGAAGUGCACGCCUGAGCUAGAUCUAAAAUUUCCCAGUGCUUUUCAAAGAAGUGUUUUUAAAACCUUGGGUUGUAUAAUAAAUCAAGAUAUCACUUUAUAUAUAUACGUACUAGGCUAAAUGAUUCUUUAAAUGUUAGCCCUUCUAAUAUGAUGGUAUUAAUACUUUAAUACCAAAAGCUAAGCCAUGACUUUAACACACCUCAUCAGAAGUGCAUUAAACUUUACUUGCCUUUUUUCCAGAAGUGUUGAGGCUUUCCUCUCCAAUCUUUUCCGGAAUGUUCUGAAUUUUACCUCACCUGGUACAUAUUUCAGAAACAUACUCUCUUGUUGAGAUGUCUUUCUAAGGAGGAAUCCCUGGGUAAAGCCUUAAGUUUUCCUAACGGUUAGUAAAUGUAAGCAAAUAUAAAGCAGAGACUUUAAUGUGACCACAGGAGGGUAUGGAGAUGUAGGGUGGGGAGAAGACAAACCUACUUUGUUAGCACUUCUAGGUAGUUCUCUCUGUACUAUGAAAAACAGUCAGCUAAAAUCACUAGCUACUUGCAGAGUAUAGAUGGUAUCAAUAGAAACUACAUAAUUUGCUGUUCUGAGAGUUGUGUCCUUUUGUGGAAACAAAACUAGACAGACAGAGGUGGCAAUUUCUAAGUAGCGGGAAGUUGUUUAAUGCUCUUUAUCAUGCUUUGAUACAGACGGGUUUUAGCCACAAAUUCUCACAUCAGAGCUGGGCUCUGGCGUGAGGCUCUGAGCAACACGUUCCCGCUGUGCAGCUGACAACCCCAAGUCCAUUCGAGAUCUCCGUCUGGAGAAACCAGCUGCUCUCCCUCCCUCCGGUUUUCAGAGGGUUUCAGUCCAAAUGUUUGGUCCAGGUCUGUCCUCCUCACCAGGAGGAUAAGCCAAAUAAGCCUAAACAGAGUAAGUACUUGCAAGUGGCCUAAAAAAAAAGAAACCUGCAGCUAUCGAGAGCUGUACAAACAUAUACGACUCAGAAUCUGCUCUUCUGGAGGACUUCCUACCUGAUAACUUCUGUGUACUUUAUUAACAUUCAAGUUUCAAAACACGUAUGAGGCAUUAUCUUCAUUUUGCAGAUAGGAAACAGAGAUAUUUAUUGAGAUAAGGCACAGAAAGGUGAAGCGACUUGCCUGAGGUCACAUCAAGGUUUCUGGCAGAGGCAUGAUCUUUCCAGAUCUUCUGAACUCUAGGCCUCUGCUUUAAAUUACAAGACUUCAUCAGGUUUAUAGCAUCUCGCCCUCCCCUCCUGCCGCCUGUUUGUAGUGCCGAAUUUGCUCCGAGCAAAACGCACUCAUUGAUGAACUCUCUCACUCGUUCCCCAACAUUACUUGCGGACUGCAACUUCAGAUGAAAGUCUCCACACUGCAGUCAUAUUUUACCUACCCGGUUAUUCUAAUUGAGUAUCGAGCAAAGUGGCUAAUUAGGAGUCUUCAAGGGACUGUUUGUUUAAUUUUGUUUUGGAAUGUGUGCUUGCAUAAAUGCCAUACAAGAAGAAGUCUGGAGGCCGCAAUCAUCUGCAAUGUAAAAAUAUUUCAGUUUCUGUGAAGUUUUCCCUCCCCUGAGGGUUCUAAUUCAUCUCCACGAGUUGAUAAAUCAAGUUGGAAGCACCCUCCCCCCGCUCUGGUGCCUAGCAGAAAUAUGACCCUCUUCUUGUCCAGGCAUGCAGACAAGUGAUGAAUCAGACUUUCCCCAAGAAAAUGCUGCAGCCCUUUUCUUAAGGCACAUUGCUGCCUGAAUAACUCAGCUUUUCCUACAGCCUCUGACUGCAUGCCUGUAUUUACUUCUAGAGAACGCAAGAGCUAUGGUCUGGAUCUGACCCGAAGACGGCUAUCCGAGUGCUAGCCAGCCAGCACCUACAAAAAACGAGGACUGGAGGAGGGCACAGCCCCUGCAGGGCUGUUUCCCAUGAGGUUUCCCUUUGUUUCCAUGCAGCAGUCCCAGCCGGUUCUCAUCCCGGCACCCCGGGCACUCCGAAGUAGCUGUGAAGGCAGCCAGGCAUGACCUGCUAUCGCCUGCACCACCUGCCAGCAUCCCUACCUGCUCGAGGCGUUGGAAGACCUUUUCACUACAAGCAUUAGCAUUCAUUACGAUCUAAAUCACAAGUUUUUCAAAACGGUUUCAACUCAUUCGAUCCCUGGGGCGAGUGGAUUUCCCCCCAAAACUUUUUCUUCCUCUUCAAAGUGGACCAGGGCCAAUUCCGUUUUUUUGCCUCGUGAAGUAAAGACAGAAGUUGGCCCAAAGAACAAAUUUAGGCUGUUUAGAAACGUGAAAGAGAUUUUGCUGUAACUUUAAAGACAGAACUGCUCCUGUGAGGAUCCAGCCUCUCUGUCCCUUUGGCUGUGCUCCUGCUCAGCAUCCCGCCCGACGCUGCAGUUACUGAAACCUGUGCUCGCCUUGUUAGGCAUCGGCAUGACGGGGCCAAGCAAUCCCGGUCUCACUGCUCAGAGAGUAACUCAUGUGACCCCUACUAAUCGUGUUCAGAAAUUAUGAAUGUUCCCAUUUUCCAGAAGGAAAGACUUACGUAGCACAUUGCCGUGUUUGCUACAAGUCAGCAACCGACCAGAUGCUCGGUGCCGGAUGGCGUGAGAUCUGCGGGUGCAGCAGCCGCCAUCCCUUACCUGUCUGAGCAGCACUCCACGUGGCCGGGAUCGGAUUUCUGUUCCUCGAAAGGCUUCAAAGCUCUAUCAGAUGGCAGCGUUUUAUCAGUUCAGCUUUCUUGCUUUUGGGGAACAGAAUGAGUAGCAGCGGUGACAGAAGAGUCAUCUACGUGUAGACCUCAGCACAACUCACUAAUGCCUUUUAAA